RNAcentral lists this transfer RNA (67 nucleotides) under Genicanthus lamarck (blackstriped angelfish). RNAcentral's name for it is "tRNA-Ser". The record is from RNAcentral. Lineage: Eukaryota; Metazoa; Chordata; Actinopteri; Pomacanthidae.
GAGAGAGGCUCGCAGCAACGAAGACUGCUAAUCUUCGCUAUCUUGGUUAGACUCCAGGACUCACUCG